Molecule: non-coding RNA, 922 nt
Organism: Physcomitrium patens
Lineage: Eukaryota; Viridiplantae; Streptophyta; Bryopsida; Funariales; Funariaceae
Source: RefSeq, a predicted model, not a curated record
GCAUCGAUGCAAACGCGGCACAAAUUGUUCGAUGAUUCGGAAGCAGAUCGUUGGGGGAACGAGCAAUCUCCCUCAUGGGCGAUCUAGAUCGAGCGAUAACAAGGUGGUGAUCGAAAGAACCGCGAGAAGACGACAAGCACUGGGUGCUCCGCAUCAUCGAACUCACUGUCUGCGGCCAUUCUGAUCAGGGUCAAUUUCUUUGGUUAUAAUAUUUACGUGGGAAUCGGUGGACGCGAUGGGAUAAUUCAAUGCCCGAGGCAACUACUAGUCGACUGUGAAGAGAAUCCGAUUGCGAUGGUUGCUAAGUUGGCACCCGUGGGCUUGUCGAUGCAUCCACCGACUGGUCAGGUCUUAGGGUGUUAAGCACGGCUUGUGUUGAGCUUGAUGUGUCUGCUCGUUACCAGACUGGUGGUCUGGUGUAGUUGAGGAUUUUGGCCCAGGUGGUGUUUGUGGAGUGUGUUUUAGUGUCGUUGGAGAAAUCUGUAAUAACAACGGCACAGCGCGUGUUUGAAGUCGAUGUUGUGUUCGUGAGUGCAUCGCCAGUUGGUCAUGAGGGGGAAUCUACGCGCAGACAUAUAGGCGUGGCGACUGCGUUUCUUCCCUGGUACCGAAGCCAAGCGUUUUCAUCAGCGAUAUGGAGCACAGCAAUCGAACCUAGCAGCCAUCGCGACGUUCUGCAUGCAUGAACGCAUCGAAAAGGGGGGAGGCCAGACUCUGUGGAUCCAUCCCCCCGGAGCUUGGAUCCGUCGACAAAUAGCCGUUUGAUGCGCACCAAUCUUUCAGGUGAGAAAAACGCCGGAAGUGUGAGUUUUACUAGAAUUGUUAGGGUCUGUUUCAACAGCACAAAACUGUUGAGAACCAUGAGAUCACAACACUAUGUACAAGCAUUUAUCUAAUACUGAAUGAGUCCUUAUAACUACUA